UGUUCCCAGGACUGAAUGUUCUGUAACACUUGAGGUCAGCAAUGCAAGUCAUGCUCGUGGUAUCUAAACCAAGGAGCUCUUUUGGGGUUCCUCAGCUGUGGCACAAAGCAAGACCCAUGCACAGAUGAGACUCCUUCCGGCCUGGAUAGCUUUUCUGAACCUUGGGAACCCAAUUCGCCAUGAAUCCUAGGCUUCUGUUUAUCCUCACUGCUUACCUUUCUUUGCAUUCCAAGAUUUCCCUGGAGUCUCAGGAAAGGAAAUGCUUUCUGGAGUCCUGUUGAUUCACAGAAAUCUGAAGAGGCAUGGAAUUUUAAUCGUGGAUUAGUUGGUGAAAACAACUCAAACAACGCAAAAUAAAACAAAUCAAGAAAAUCCCCCCAAAACAGAAAAGUUACCCUCUUAACAAAUAUUGAAGUGUUGUAGAAUCCAGAGUUAUAGAUGAGAUAAGAUAAAUACAUUGUUUAAUAGCAGAUCUCUAGAACUUUUAUGUCUUGGUGUGACUGAAACUUUACACCCACUAACAUGCAACACUCUGGAGUUUUUGAUACUCCAUGGUUGCCAGCACCUAAUAAGACAUAUUAGUCACAAGAGAAUGCAACAUUUAACAAAAUGAAUAGACAGUUUUGUUUAUAUACUAUAUUGACAAGUUUGUGAUUAUUAGAAAUCAGCUGGUAGAAAUGCAUCCAUUUUAUUUCACCUCAUUCUGUACCAUUGAGUUAAUGAAAUAAAGGCUUUACUUGUAGUACAUACAUGAAGAAGACUUAAGAGAUGAUCCUUUCCCUGGGAUGAAAGAGAGUCACACAGCAAAACUCUUUAAAAAAUCACAUACAGUAUUUCCACAAUCUUCAAAUAGCCUCUAGUUCUCAGAAGAAAGAACAGCCCUUUUGGGCAGUAUCCCACUGAAAUGCUUUGAACCAAUACCAAAAAAGCAAGUGUGUGCCAGCAACUACGUGUACAAUCAACAAAGACUUUUUGUGUGAUGCCUAGCAAAUUACUUUAUUUCUAUUGGUUCAUUUCUGUCAGAGAAGAAAACAAUGAACUCUGCAUGUCAGCCUUACAAAUGGAGAUUUUAUUUUACUUUUUGUAUUCAGAAGAGGUACUAGAAAUGUACCACCAGUUCAGGCAAAAUUAGGGAAGAAAGCAAUGGGCAUUAAAGUAUUGCACUAUAAAUGGUUUAACCAUGCAAAUUAAAGACUGGAACACAGGCAACCCUUCAUUAACAGUAAAAAUACAUUACCUAUCUUGUUACUUUGUAUGGGUGCUAUCUAACUCUGGCCCAAAACACAGAGAAAUAAAGUUGAAACAAUA
This is a long non-coding RNA of Chinchilla lanigera (long-tailed chinchilla), 1308 nucleotides long. RefSeq lists it as uncharacterized. The transcript is spliced from 3 exons. The record is from RefSeq and is a predicted model, not a curated record. NCBI's taxonomy places the organism in Eukaryota, Metazoa, Chordata, Mammalia, Rodentia, Chinchillidae.